RNAcentral lists this ribosomal RNA (423 nucleotides) under uncultured bacterium. Its description in RNAcentral is "bacterial SSU rRNA". It matches the Rfam family "Bacterial small subunit ribosomal RNA", at positions 355 to 776 of the family's 1533-position model. The record is from RNAcentral.
UGAGGAAUAUUGGUCAAUGGCCGGAAGGCUGAACCAGCCAAGUCGCGUGAGGGACGACUGCCCUAUGGGUUGUAAACCUCUUUUAUAAGGGAAGAAUAAUUGCUACGUGUAGCAUGAUGCCUGUACCUUAUGAAUAAGCAUCGGCUAACUCCGUGCCAGCAGCCGCGGUAAUACGGAGGAUGCGAGCGUUAUCCGGAUUUAUUGGGUUUAAAGGGUGCGUAGGCGGUUUUUUAAGUUAGUGGUUAAACGUCGGGGCUUCACCUUGAUUUGCCAUUAAUACUGUAAGACUCGAGUUCAGACGAGGUAGGCGGAAUAAGUUAAGUAGCGGUGAAAUGCUUAGAUAUAACUUAGAACUCCGAUAGCGAAGGCAGCUUACCAGACUGCGACUGACGCUGAAGCACGAGAGCGUGGGUAGCGAACAGG